CAAGGAACAGAAAACGAGUCACUCAACUGAACAAAGACUGAUUCCUACUGUAACAAACCUGAACUCAACACAGCACUCUCACAUAGGUAUCAGUGUCCACAGGAAGAAACAUCCCAGUGCCAGGGCAGAAAUUACUCACUCCGAUGUACAUCUGACUUAUCUCCACCCAAGUAUUUCAGUGCCUGGAGGCUUACUGCAGAUGUCCUUUUUGUGUACACGUCUGUGGAUAUGUUGAACAUUGUGCAGCCAACGCUCUCUUUUGGAUACCGGAAGAAACUAUCCACCAGUAAGGAGGACACAAAGAAUAAUCAAGCUGUGGUACAUGGCAAAUGCAGAAGUGACAAUCAACCUGCACAAAGAUGAUUGGAGCCAAAGUAAAUGUUGUUAUGUAUGUUGGAUUUUCAGUGAACACUGGAAUCUCAUUUAAAACUAUUGAUGCAUUACCAUGUGAUUGAAUUCUGUUCUUACACAACAAGACGUAUAUAGAAAUAAAUGACAAAAAAUGUUCAGGAAUAUUUUAGUUAUUAUUUUUAAUUAUUUAACACAGUCACUCCAGGCAUCACUGAAUCUCAGAGAUAUGUUAAAUCACAUUAUAGCUCAUGAUUUUCUUUUCCACAUUCAUUAGUUUUAUUUAAAUAAGAGAUUUUCUAAAAAUGUACUACUUUUUUUAUCUUACUAGUAGGAUUUUUUCUUUGUUUUUUUGUUUGGUUGGUUGGUUUGGGGUUUUUUGUUUUUUGUUUUUUUAGUAAGGAUAAGUUGCUAGAUUUUUUCUUGACUGAUUUGACUGUAUUUCUUCAAAAUUUCUCUUUAAGAAAAAUAAACAGCAACAUGUUAGAAACAGUAGUUCUAUCUCAUGUGGGCAAUCCUCCUUCUUGUCUUUUGUACUCC
RNAcentral lists this long non-coding RNA (888 nucleotides) under Gallus gallus (chicken). The record is from RNAcentral. Lineage: Eukaryota; Metazoa; Chordata; Aves; Galliformes; Phasianidae.